This 636-nucleotide ribosomal RNA is filed under the name uncultured fungus. RNAcentral's name for it is "eukaryotic LSU rRNA". It matches the Rfam family "Eukaryotic large subunit ribosomal RNA", at positions 23 to 641 of the family's 3401-position model. Lineage: Eukaryota; Fungi. The record is from RNAcentral.
ACCCGCUGAACUUAAGCAUAUCAAUAAGCGGAGGAAAAGAAACUAACAAGGAUUCCACUAGUAACUGCGAGUGAAGCGAGAAAAGCUCAAAUUUAAAAUCUGGUAGUCUUUGGCUGCCCGAGUUGUAAUCUAGAGAAGUGUUUCCCGUGCUGGACCGUGUACAAGUCUCCUGGAAUGGAGCGUCAUAGAGGGUGAGAAUCUCGUCUCAGACACGGACUCCCAGUGCUUUUGUGGUGCGCUCUCAACGAGUCGAGUUGUUUGGGAAUGCAGCUCAAAAUGGGUGGUGAAUUCCAUCUAAAGCUAAAUAUUGGCGAGAGAUCGAUAGCGAACAAGUACCGUGAGGGAAAGAUGAAAAGAACUUUGGAAAGAGAGUUAAACAGUACGUGAAAUUGUUGAAAGGGAAACGCUUGAAGUCAGUCGCGUUGUCCAGAAAUCAACCUUGGUUCUCCUGGGUGUACUUUCUGGUUCAACGGGUCAGCAUCAGUUUUGAUCGAUGGAGAAAGUCCAAGGGAAUGUGGCAUCUUCGGAUGUGUUAUAGCCCUCGGUCGUAUGCAUCGGUUGGGUCUGAGGAAUUCAGCACGCCGCAAGGCCGGGGUUCGCCCACGUACGUGCUUAGGAUGCUGGCAUAAUGGCUUU